Long non-coding RNA from Numida meleagris (helmeted guineafowl), 4931 nucleotides. RefSeq lists it as uncharacterized. The record is from RefSeq and is a predicted model, not a curated record. Lineage: Eukaryota; Metazoa; Chordata; Aves; Galliformes; Numididae. The transcript has 3 exons.
UCACUGAGCGGGUCACCUUGUCAUAGAACGAAAUCAAGUUUGUCAGGCAGGAUCUACCAUUCAUGAACCCAUGCUGACUGGGCCUGAUCCCCUGGCUGACCUUGAACUGAUCCAUGAUGGCUCUUUCAUUAUCGUUAAUUUUGCUCAGUAGUUAGAUUUUGGUGCGUGAUUAUUUAAAAAUAAUCUAAUGGACGCUGGCAAAUAAUUAAAAAAAAAAAAAAGCAUGACGCCAUCAAUUGGAUGGAUUUUUUCUUCUUAGCCUAUAUUCACAAGCACUUGGCAGAGGUUUCCAGGGUUUGGAGAAGUUUUCCUUGGUUUUCUUCUUUUUUUUUUCUUCCUUUUUCCCCUCUAAGUUGAUGUUCUUCCCCUGUCAGUGAAAGAAAGAGAGAAUGGAACGCCAGGGGCUGUGCUGCGGGCCCACAUCAGUCCCACAGGAGAAGUUCUUGCUGAGGUCUCUCCAGCUGCUGAUCCUUGCCCGGAUGCUGCUCAGCAAUGGAAAACUGCAUGUCCCGUAAUGCCCCGGACCCCAAUUUCGGCGACUCGUUGCCCGAACAGGUCAGGGCAAUGUACGCACACAGGUAUUUCCCCAUUGCACAAUGCAGUGCUCCCAGAACUCAUUGCAGCUCUUUAGGGCACCUUCCAGGCCGCCUGCCCUUUUCCUCUCACCUUUCCCCAGGUUUCCUCCUUGCUUUGCCCUGUUGUUCCCGUUGCCUUCCUCUGUGUUGCUCAGGCAUUGCACUUCCUUUGUGAAUAUCAAAUUCUUGAGCGCUGCCACUCUGCGAGGGAGUUAUCCAAUCGCUUCACGUUGUGCCCUGGGCCCAGAAAAUCCCCUGAAAACGACCCAGAGAAGUCACCCUACAAGUAACGCUAACAGUAAUCUCAAUCCUAAAGGUAGCUCUAACCUCAGUGCUAACAGAAUGCUCAUCAUAACGGUAAUGGCCCUAAAAGUCCUGGUAGCAUAACAGAGGUGCCGGGCCGUCCCUUCAGUAUCGUGUUGUGUUAAACGCGGGCGGCAGCGGAGCAGCAUGUCGCUCCCGGGCGGUACAAGUUUCUCAAAUGCUGCACUGCAGGAUUCAGCAUUUGUGAAGACAGUGCUACCAUUCUGCAGGAGAGCUGUCUGGUCGGGUUGCACUGCAUCUCUCUGUGCCUUACAUCUCUCUCCGGGGCGCAGGAGCAUGGAGGCACAUUGUGCGUACGGGGUCAGAUUUGCGGGGCAGGCGAUUCCCUUGGUGGGGUCUGAGUGGUGGGGCCAGAGCCUGAACCCAGAUGAGCUGAAGGCCGCCCAGAUUUGCUUAAGGCCUCCGGGGCCCUAUGCCCCCGAGGCCAGUGGCAGUCAGUGCCAAGAGCUCCUGGCCUCGGGGCUCAGUUGCUGCAGCUUGCUGGAAAAUAUUCCCCCAGUCUUACAGGUUUUCCUCCCAGUAAGUUCGUACUCUGUUCCGCUUAUUGAGCGUGUAUCCCUAGAAGGAUGAUUGCAGAAGGAGAAGAAGAGACAAGAUGGUGUGAAGCCUUUUGAAAACAAACCAAACACCAGAAAAGAAAACCCGCCCCAAACUGCACUGACCCAACGCGGGCAGCAGGCUGAGUGCUGGAAGGCUUUGGGAACUGUUCUGUUGCUCCCUUGUGAUUCAAUUAGCCAUGAGCUUGCACGUCUCAAUUUCUCCUCUUUUGGAUGCUGUAACCGAGGCACACCAGCUCGAGCGAGUAACGGACAAGCUGUGCACAUCAAUAUGAUGCAAAAGCAACGCCGUUUAUUAGUCUUAGUGCAGUUUCUUAUGUAGAGAUAUCAAGCACGUUGGCUCAAUCAGAUAAGCAAGUUACCACCAUGCAGUCGUUAAUCAGCUGCCUGUCAUCAAGCUCCUUUGAAGUAGAACUCGUGGCGUCGUCUUGUUCUGAGCAUCUGCCAAGGUCCGGGCCGUCCGUGCUUCUGAUCAGGACUGUAGCUGUCCUCUCAGAUGUCCCGUUCAGCGUGCCACGUUGCCACAGCAUCGUUCCGGAGAUUAGCUCCAUACAAUAGCAGCAUCGUUAACAAGGUACAGCACGACUACAUCGUUAUCUUCCUUGCGUCACUGCGGCGUCUGCCCCCACUCCCGCUGCCUAUGAGCGAAGUUCCUCGUGGUACAGAGCUGUGCAGCCGGCUGCCUAGACCAAAUAUGCACAACGUUGGAGGAGAUCACGCAUUUUUUUCAUGCUUUUGACGUAUGAGGCUGGUGUAUGCCUUCAAGCAGGUGACGCUGAGAAGCGUGACUCACGACGGCUGAUGCAUCCCUCCUGCUUCCUAUUCAUUCUUCCUUUGGGUCAAAAGCAGAGCAAAUCCAUGAGAAUUGUGACUGGGAGCCCCGCUGUUCUGAGGCCGCUUGUCAGUCUCAAGCGUGGUGCCCGGGGGCAGAUCCCGGCACCGGUGCCAAAGGGAAGAGCUGCCGACGAAUCGCUCCGUAUCCAAACCCAUCCCAGGGAUAUUUUCAAGCCUUGGGUGAAGCUCGGCCUGGUGGGGCCAGGUACAGAAGCUGUUACUGCUCUGCUUUUUCUAAAAGUGGCUCCGCUGUUUUGCGUUGCUCUGUUAAUUGUUCUGAACCACCCUUGGCUUCGCUGCACGCACCUGUGCAAUUUAUACCAGCUUUUUUAAUCACCUCAGACACUGGCAAAAAAAAAAAAAAACAUGACGGCAUCAAUUUGAUAUAUACGUAUAUAUUUUUACACAGACAUUCAUAAGCACUUAGCACUGGUUUCCAGGGUUUGGAGAAGUUUUCCUUGGUUUUCCUCGUCUUUUUAAUUUAAUUUUUAUUUCUUCUCCCCCUCCUCUCCUAACCCUGUGUUCUUCCCGAUCGUCAAGGACCUGCCGGCCCGCGCCCCCCCCGCAGUUCUUUCUUUCCGCGGUCUCUGCUGCCACCUGGUGGCCAAGCCGCGGAACUGCCGCUGUCUGUUUGGUCCUGCAGGCAGCACGGCGCAUGCGCCCAGAAAUGCGGAAGUAGCGUAUCUACGUGCUAACCGCUCUGCGCAGCUAAUCCACCCAUCCUGUGAUGAGUCCUCUAGGCAGUAGUGCGCAUGCGCCCGAAAACUUAAAAAUAGCGUCCGUUUCUACGACCCUCUCUGAGUCGGGCGAGCAGUCAAUCCUUGGACCGCCGGCUCAGCGACAUUCCCCGCCCCUUCCACUUCAGGACGGCAUUGGUCUAUUUCCUCGGGCGGCUUUACGCCCGAGCUCGCCCCGGGAACACGGACCGUUUUCGCUCCCAGCGGCCCCUGCGCGCACUGCGGCACCCGAUUGGCUCGGCGUUGCACGUGAUCGUCAGCUCCUCCCCCCCCCCCCCAACCGGCACUGCGCACGCGCACUAGCGGAGCGGUACUCGCUGCUGCCGCCCAUGGAAGAGGAUUCGGUACCGCAGGCGCUGCGCGGGUCCUGCAGAAAUGGCGGAUCUGAGUUCUGACCCCUCUGCGCAGCUAACCCACCAAGCCUUAUUGUAACUAGUCCUCUAAACAACAGCACACACGCGCUGGAAGAUGUACAGAAGGCAUGGAUUUCCUCCUCGCUACUUCAGCUGCAGGAGAGCAGAGCGGGCACAGACCGUCAGCUCUGAGCAAUGCUCCCCAGUCUGCGGAGCGAGGUCUCUUCCCUAUUUCCACAUCUUUAUGCCUGAGCCGAGAAGCGACCAUUUUGUCUCAAGGCUGCCCAUGUGCAUGCCAUGACAUCCCAUUGGCUCGUUGUGGCACGGGAUUGACAGCUGGCCGCCCCAACACCGCGUGUACGCACGAGCUCCUGAGGCUCUCGCUGCUGCCCCCAUUGAAGAGAAUUCAGCGCUGCAGGCGCUGCUCUGCACACACAAGCAGCUUUGUUUCCUGGAGCUGCUCGAGGGCAGCGCGAGCAUCAGUCUUGCGCCGCUGCAGGUUCCCAGGCCCGAGAACGGAUAGGCUCGGCUCACAGCUUCCCCUGAGCGCCUCGUGGCUUCCUUCUUGCUCAUUACCACGGCGGACUGACAGUCGUCCCCCAGCCAUUUAAAUGCGUUCCCUGCAGCAGGGGACUGGGAACAGCCUGGAGAUUCGUGGGGCAUGGCGUUGGCAUGGAGCAGCCCCAACAUCGCAGCAACCCGGGCUGGGCACAGAGUGGCUCCAGGGUCAGCCCCAGCCGAGUUUACUAGGAGCUGCUGAAUGGAAUUCUCCACCCUCUCCGGGCCCCUCGCCAUGGGCUGCAGGUCAGCGGCCACGCGCACUCGGCAAAGCCAUAUUGCUCGGCGCGUGCCCGCGUCCACGGCAGUCCCGUGCACGCGCGUGCCUGCAGUACCGCCCGGCGACCAGCGGAGGGCAGCAGAGAGCCGCGGCGCUGAGGCAGACAGCAAGGCGCUGUGCCCGCAGACCGCCUGCUUCCACCGUGCCCUCAGCCGGCGCAGCCCCAAACCCACCCUGGAAAUGGGCGCUGCCCCCUCCCCAUGGCUGCCCGCUACUCACCUUUGCCCCCAACCUCUCCUUCCCCCUCAGCGUGGCCCUGGGGGUCCUCCCCCAAACGCCGUCCCCUAGACAAGGCACCUGACUGCCUUCGUUUCACCUCAGAGUGCACUGGCACUGAAACGCCCUGUUUUUGCCUUAAAUGUUUGCCCUAAUUUCCCUGUGUCUGGCUUCAAAUGCUGGACCCAGAGCCUCGCUAUUUCACCCCAAGCUCCAGUCUCAGACUCACUAUUUCUCCAAACACCAGCCCCAAAUCCUCACUAUUUCACCCCAAACUCCAGCCUAGCGGUGAGGUUGGGGCUGGUGUUCAGCACAGUCUGCACCUAGAACAGAAUUUGGGGCAAAUAACGAGGGGGGAACCGAAUGAGACGGGGGGGGGGACUACAGAAUCAUAGAAUUGCUCAGGUUGGAAAAGACCUUCAAGAUCAUCAAGUCCAACUGCAGCCUCACCAUACUACUCUAACAACCCACCAUAAAUCAUGUCCCCGAGCACCACA